GUGCUCUCUUCAGCAGCACAUAUAUUAAAAUUGGAACGAUACAGUGAAGAUUAGUAUGGCCCUUGCACAAGGGAGACUCACAAAUUUGUGAAGCUCUCCAUAUUUUU
Fukomys damarensis (Damara mole-rat) is the source of this 107-nucleotide small nuclear RNA. The record is from Ensembl. Lineage: Eukaryota; Metazoa; Chordata; Mammalia; Rodentia; Bathyergidae.